GAAAGUAAAAAAGGGCGCAUGGCGGAUGCCUUGGCUCUCGGAGGCGAUGAAGGACGUGAUAAGCUGCGAUAAGCUUUGGGGAGGUGCAAAUGACCUUUGAUCCAGAGAUUUCCGAAUGGGACAACCCAAUAUCUUGAAGAGGUAUUAUCCAACGUUGUUGGAGGCUAACGCAGGGAACUGAAACAUCUUAGUACCUGCAGGAAAAGAAAAUAAACAAUGAUUCCCCCAGUAGUGGCGAGCGAACGGGGAACAGCCCAAACCAUCCAUGUUACGGCAUGGGUGGGGUUGUAGGACUACGCCGUUGCAUGAAGACAUCAGAGAAGAACUUUCUGGAAAGAAAGACCAUAGAGCAUGACAGUUGCGUAUUCGAAUGUUGUCGAAGCAUAGUAGUAUCCUGAGUAGCGCGGAGCACGAGGAAUUCUGCGUGAAUCUGCCGGGACCAUCCGGUAAGGCUAAAUACUCCCGAGAGACCGAUAGCGAACCAGUACCGUGAGGGAAAGGUGAAAAGCACUUCGAACAGAAGAGUGAAAUAGUUCCUGAAACCGUGCGCCUACAAGCGGUCGGAGCUCGUUAAUGAGUGACGGCGUGCCUUUUGCAUAAUGAACCUACGAGUUGCCUUUGCCGGCAAGGUUAAGUGUGACGACACACGUAUCCGAAGCGAAAGCGAGUCUGAACAGGGCGUAUAGUCGGCAGUGGCAGACGCGAAACCAAGUGAUCUACCCUUGGCCAGGUUGAAGGCUGGGUAACACCAGCUGGAGGACCGCACCAAUAAGCGUUGAAAAGCUUCUGGAUGAGCUGAGGGUAGGGGUGAAAGGCUAAUCAAACUUGGAGAUAGCUCGUACUCCCCGAAAUGCAUUUAGGUGCAGCCUCGCGGGUUACUGAUGUGAGGUAGAGCGACUGAUUGGAUGCGAGGGCUUCACCGCCUAUCAAGUCCUGACAAACUCCGAAUGCGCAUCAGUUUUACCGCGGGAGUGAGGGCAUGGGUGCUAAGGUCCGUGCCCGAGAGGAGAAGAAUCCGGACUAUCAGCUAAGGCCCCGAAAUGACAGCUAAGUUAAACUAACGAAGUCUGAUUGCUAAGACAGCUAGGAUGUUGGCUUGGAAGCAGCCAUUCAUUUAAAGAGUGCGUAACAGCUCACUAGUCGAGGAGUCGGGCGUGGAUAAUAAUCGGGUAUCAAGUUGUCUACCGAAGCAGUGGGAUCAUUUAUAUGAUCGGUAGGGGAGCAUUCCAGUCAGCGUCGAAGGCGUACCGUGAGGUAUUCUGGAGCGUCUGGAAAAGCAAAUGUAGGUAUAAGUAACGAUAAAGGGGGCGGGAAACCCCCUCGCCGAAAGACUAAGGUUUCCUGAUCAACGCUAAUCGGAUCAGGGUCAGUCGGGUCCUAAGGCUCAGCCGAACGGCGAUGCCGAUGGCAGAAACGGUUAAUAUUCCGUUACUACCUUCAGGAGUGACGUGGAGACGCAGUAGUGACAGUGCCGCCAUCUGACGGAAUAGAUGGUUGAAGGGUGUAGGAGUCGAUCAUGGCAGGCAAAUCCACCAUGAGAUCCGAACCUGACAGUAUGCCGCGUCCUUCGGGACAAGGCAAUAGUGCGCGUAAGCAUGCUGCCGAGAAAAUCCGCUAAACUUAAUCCUGCAGGUACCCGUACCGCAAACGGACACACGUAGUCGGGAUGAAUAUUCUAAGGCGCUUGAGUGAUUCACGGUUAAGGAACUAGGCAAACUGACCCUGUAACUUCGGGAUAAAGGGUCCCUACCCUUUUAUGGGAGGGCGCAGAGAAUCGGUCCAGGCAACUGUUUAACAAAAACACAGGGCUGUGCCAAAUCGAAAGAUCCAGUAUACAGCCUGACACCUGCCCGGUGCUGGAAGGUUAAGAGGAGAUGUCAUCGAUAAGAGAAGCGUUGAAUUGAAGCCCCAGUAAACGGCGGCCGUAACUAUAACGGUCCUAAGGUAGCGAAAUUCCUUGUCGGGUAAGUUC
Molecule: ribosomal RNA, 1972 nt
Filed under: human gut metagenome
Description: bacterial LSU rRNA
Rfam family: Bacterial large subunit ribosomal RNA
Source: RNAcentral